UGGGGAAUAUUGCACAAUGGGCGCAAGCCUGAUGCAGCCAUGCCGCGUGUGUGAAGAAGGCCUUCGGGUUGUAAAGCACUUUCAGCGGGGAGGAAGGCGGUGAGGUUAAUAACCUCAUCGAUUGACGUUACCCGCAGAAGAAGCACCGGCUAACUCCGUGCCAGCAGCCGCGGUAAUACGGAGGGUGCAAGCGUUAAUCGGAAUUACUGGGCGUAAAGCGCACGCAGGCGGUCUGUCAAGUCGGAUGUGAAAUCCCCGGGCUCAACCUGGGAACUGCAUUCGAAACUGGCAGGCUAGAGUCUUGUAGAGGGGGGUAGAAUUCCAGGUGUAGCGGUGAAAUGCAUAGAGAUCUGGAGGAAUACCGGUGGCGAAGGCGGCCCCCUGGACAAAGACUGACGCUCAGGUGCGAAAGCGUGGGGAGCAAACAGG
This 429-nucleotide ribosomal RNA is filed under the name Chloroflexota bacterium. RNAcentral's name for it is "Chloroflexi bacterium partial 16S ribosomal RNA". It matches the Rfam family "Bacterial small subunit ribosomal RNA", at positions 355 to 776 of the family's 1533-position model. Lineage: Bacteria; Bacillati; Chloroflexota. The record is from RNAcentral.